Molecule: long non-coding RNA, 21216 nt
Filed under: Malus domestica (apple)
Lineage: Eukaryota; Viridiplantae; Streptophyta; Magnoliopsida; Rosales; Rosaceae
Description: long non-coding RNA (MDOM_LNC018060)
Source: RNAcentral
GAUUAGUUUAACAUGUGAAAUGUCCGUAAAGUAUCAUCAUAUGAUUGGUUUUAGGGCACAUUUCCAACAAUUACAAAAUAUAUAAAUUUUAAGAUCUGUAUGAGUGAAAUUAAAGUUCAUAGAAGAAACCCCCUUGAAGCAAUUUUGAUGUUGAACUUUUCUAAAAAUAGCGCGGCUGCGUGGUUUCUUCGGUGGCAGCAGAUGGUGAAUGGAAAUAAGGUUUUGUUUCUGGAAGAAAGGCUAAAGAAAGAGAAGAGAAAGAGAGCUAUGGGCAACCCCAAAGGGAAGCUUAUGUAAAAGUGGCUGAAACUCUCUGUUUUAUAAGGUUAAAGAGGCUGCUACAGAUUACCAAUACAUCCCAGUAAUUGGGCAUUUAAUUCCCCCAUUUUUUUGCUGUUAUUGGUUUUACAAAGAGCCAUAUUCACUUUUAAUUCUUUGUCUACAUCAACAUCCACUUUUAGCACCAUUUUGCCUUAUCUGUCCUCAAAUGGCUCUAAAAUACAAUUAAAUGCACAUUAACACAAGAGAGAGUAAAACGCAACCAGUUUAACUCAAAAAUAUCACAAAGAGACUAGGAAUGGAUGGUAUAAAUGUAUGAAAUAUGUGAGUUAUCAAAUACCCCCAAACCUGGUUUUUGCUGGUCCUCGAGCAAAACUAAAACUGAAAACAAACAAAACAAAGAAAAAUAUAACUAGACCAUUUUCGUUAGCUAAAUGAUUGCACGGAGCAUGUGCAACAAGCCUUUAAACCUCUAGGUGUCUCUAGUCGAAGGAGUUGUGUCUCCUGAGGGUUUACAGUGAUGUGAAAAUUGUUAAAGCACUAAAAAUGGUUAAAGCAUGCUUGAAACAAACUAAUAAGAACCAAUGAUGUGAAAAUUAACUUGACACACAAAUUAAACCCUAUUUUGACAAUUGUAGUAUAUAAAUAAGUAGGGAUCGUUCUUAAACCGAGGAUUAUGAGGGAUUGCUAAACACUCUAAACUGACUUAAAUAGAUAAAACUAAGCUUUAAAACACUUAACUAGACCUAAAAGACUCAAAACAAGUUCACAAGACUCAAAAUAAGCUAAAAACACUCAAAACUGCCUAAAAACGCAAUCUGGGCAGUUUCUGACUCUAAACACAACUUUGGACGAAUUUUGGGUUUUCCUUGACUCAAAACACUUAAAAACACAAUCUAAAACAGAUUUUAACUAGUUAGACACUCUAAAGUAAAGGGGGAUUUGGUUUUGGACAAAAAUAAAGUAAAACAAAGCAAGAACUAAACUAGGCAGAUUUGCACGAAUUUGGUGAAAUUAGAUGGAUGAUGGGCUAGCUAGAGGGUCUUUCUCCACACAUGACACACUUGCAUAAAAAACAAUCUCCAGUUGCUUUUUCAAUGAACCAUGAACCUCAACACCCCAAGUUAAUUAGGUACGCUCAAAUUAACCCUCAGAUUUUCCUUAAAUCGUUGAAUUGAAUGGAAAUAGCGCAUCGCAAUCAAAUUAUUCCUUAAAAGUUCCCUACAUGAAAGCGCAUAAUAGAGACACAAUCAAAGAUCAUUAAGUGCUAUGAAAAUCAUAAGUGUUAACAAGGCAUUCGUAACUAUGAAAGCGCAUGAUUCUUAUGCCAAGAAUUUACUUAACAUGAUUGUGACUAACAACCUUUACUACUUAUGAAUAUAAGUUCAUAACGAUUAGGUGAAACUCCCUUACAUUCUAGCAUCAAAUUCAUGCAUGCAAACUAAGUUGACCACCUUAAUAACCAUACAAGAAUAAGUUUUGAAUAAAACAGUUAAGCGAAUUGCAUUCACAAUUUAUCAAAUCGCAAUUGAAAGUAAUCAAUUCAUAUUGCAAGUAUAAUCAUGGUUUCGAAUUCCCCUCUAACUAUAAAGAAAUUAGUUCCUCAUGUUCGCAAUUAAACAAAGAUAACUUGAAUUAAACAUUGAAAACAAAGAUACAAUACACCUAGAAACACUCCAGAUGGCUCCUUCUUCUCCUUCCUUAGCUGCGGCGCAAGAGGAUUAUGGUGGAUGGUGUGGUGGAUGUAUGUAGGUGAUUUUUGGUAGAAGGUGGUGGUUUAAUUGCUGCACAAAGGUUUGUAUUUAUAAGGCUAGGGAAACCCACGAAUUUCUGAAGGAAAGGAAUGUGUAUUUGGCACAAUUCAUGAAGGAAAAGGACUAGGGUUCACCAAAAUCUGAAGGGAAAAGGAUUGCACAAUCCUAAGGGAAAAAGGAUUGCAGGUUCUAGGGCUUCUAGAAAGGGUCUAGGCGCCAGAUUUUUAGGUGCUUCUAGAAAAGAUGUUUUAGCACCAAUUUAGGGGUUCUAGAAGGAUAAAGGUUCUAGAAUCUGAAAUAUAUAGUUUAAAUGCAUAAUUAUCCCUUAGAAAUAGCUGGAAUUAAGGCACAAAUUGAUUUGGAUAAGAUAGGAUAAGAUAAGGUUAGGUUAGGCAAGGAUAAGAUAAGAUAAGGUUGGAUAAGGUUUUGGAUAAUGUUCCUUCUUUUGAGCUGAUUUCUAUCUUCCUUGACUUGGAUUUAUUUCUUCACCCUUUUCAGCACAUUCCUAGCCUCUUGAACUUCAAAUUCGUCCAUCCAUCUUGCUCCAUUCAUAAGCUAUCCAUUUGGUGCCCAAAACUGCCUCAAAAUGCUCCAAAAUUGCACUUUCUUGCCAACUUUGUCAUAUGGACCUACAAACACACGAAAAUAUCUUAAAACACUAUAAUAAACAUAAACAAACUAUGAAAAUGCAAGAAAACAAGCUAACUAAGUCACAUAAAUAUGCUCCUAUCAACCAAUGAAAGCAUAGUCAUACAUUCAAACCAAAAGUCUGCCACUUCAAAGAAUCGCAUCAUACGUAGAGUGUAAAAAAUAUUACUCCAUGACUCAUGACUUCAAAAAUACCAUACUCAAAUGCCAAAGAUAGAAUUCGCCUCAACUCUAGUCCUCAUAGAUAUCACUCAAAUUUUCACUCAGUUCCUAAGGUGUAGUCUCUCCACGAACACAUGUGAGUGAAAUUGUGUAAAAGGGGUGAGAUGUAAAAAGGAUUCAAAAAUUCUCACACAUGAAAUAUGAAAUAAAAGCACAUUUUCUGAACAGAUCUCAUGAAAUGAAUCAAAUACUAAGAAUAUGGAUAGCACACAUACUUACUAGCACCCAUGAAUAUAUCCCCAAAGAUCAGCCAGGUCUUUCACAAGGUUGUAAUGUAAGGCUUAGGACAUACUAGAGCUUGGGACAUACAAAAAUAUCUUUGUUAUGAAAUAAGCAAGCUCUCCUCUUGAAUUGAUCUUCUUUGUUUAUUCUUGGCAACCAGGACACACGUGCAAUUGUGAAGGAUUUGGAAAUUGCAUCUUCUUUAUUCAUUUUUUUCUUUUUUUUUUCUUUUUUUUUCAUGUUUUGCAAUUCCAACACAUGUUACCUCGAUACACGCCACAUUAUUGAUCUACAGCUCAAUCUAUCUGUUUUCAUCACUUUGGUAUUCCCCAAACUAUAAGGUAUGUUGUAAUGGGUUAAGAUGGGUAAAGUUUGGUGUAGGUGAUAAAAGAAUUAAGUUAAAAGUGUUUGGUUGCAAAAAAUAUGAAUGGAACACACAAAGGGUUGGGAAUAAAGCCAUUUGGUGGUUAAAACAUGCAUAGCCUAACAUCGUCUCAAUGGGUUCAUUCAUAGGUGAUAAUAAACACAUGGUAUCUACAAUAUAGGAUUAUUCUUAGCAUUCAAUCAAAGAGAAAUAAUGAGAUCAUUUAAAGUGAAAUUGAAAGAAAACGAUAGGAGAAGAAACACUUUAACCCCUCUCAAAAAAGCAAAUAUGCUCAAAAUAACUCAUUAGGGUAGUCUCCACUAUUCUUCGUCCAAAAUUUGAGCAUGGUACUUUAACCAUUAUAAUUCCAAGAGUAACAACUUUGUAAAAGAAAAUAAGAUGCCAAACUUUUUCAUGACAACACUGUAGUUUUGUUUGUAAACAUAGCCCUCAUAAACAUUUACAUUAGUAAGCAAAAGCAAGCUUAACCAACACUAAAAUCAAACGAAAAUUUUCAAUCUCACACCCCCAAACCUAAACAAAACAUUGUCCUUGAUGCGUAGAAAAAAAAAUGAAUGGAAUGCAACAAUGCAGGAAGGCAAAGUAAGCAUGGAAUGAAAUAAAACAAAAACUAAAAGACACAAAAUAAAAGGAAAGAACACAAACCCAGCUAGGUUGCCUCCUAGCAAGCGCUUUUUUAACAUCUAGGCAAGACAUGGUACCAUGAUAGAUAAACACCUAGGGUGGAAAGAAGCCAAGGUAGCUCUGAACCUUGGUUGGAAGAACUAGUUUCUUUAGAGGGACUUUAAAUAUAGUGCGUUGAAUUUCCACAAGGACUUGAUUGUGAUGGUGUUUUCGUCUCUCCUUGCGAAGAAGCAUAUCCUCGAAAAUUGUUGAAGAUGUGGCUGGAGCAAUGAUUUCAAUGGAUGAAUGAAAUUCGCUCAAGGGAACAAUCUCAUCGUCUAGCCUUGAAUCUUCUUUCUUAUGGUGAAUGGGCAGCAAUGAUUCGUCAUCCAACUUCAAUUUGUUUUUCUCUUGAUAUGGCAGCAAAUCAUCUCCAAAAGACUCCAAAGAUGGCACCUGUAAAGAUGUAAAACAACAGAGAGAAUCCAACAUAACUUUCAAAAAAAAUUCAAGCAAAUUAGAAGAUUGGGAAAGAGUUUCAAAUUCAAGAACUUCUCUAUGUAUAUCGGCACAGCUAGAUUCCAAUGAUUAUUGACCGUUCACAUCUUGACCAUCACCACAUGGUUGUUCAUUUAACGCUUGGACAAUCUGCCCCAAUUGAAUUUCCAACUUGGUAAGUGCAAUGGAGUGUUCUUGGAUCAUGCUACUCGUUGAUUGUUGAAAUUGCAAAUUAUUUUGAGCGAAUAGCUUCAAAGUGUCAUCUAAUGAAGUGUCAAAGGAUUCUUGCUGUGGUGGAGGUGUAAAUGCUUGAUUUGGAGCUUGUAUGUUGUUUCUCCAAGCGGGGUUGUAUGUAUUUAGCAAUGGUUGCAGUGGCCCUUGGUUAGAGAAACACAUGCGGUGUGAGUGCUCUUGAACAAAUGUAGGAAACUCAUAUCUUCUUGGGCACAACUCAAAGGAUAACCAGUCUUGGCACAUAAUAGACAUACACCAUACAUCUUUUUAGACAACCUGAAAUCAAAACAAACUAAAUUGUAAAUGAAAAAUCUAAACUAAGAAAACAAAAAUAGAUAGGGUUUAUAAAGCAAGCAAUUAGAGGGGAUUGAAAUUAGUCCUCGGCAACGGCGCCAAAUUUUUUAGCAGCAAUGUGCAUGGCUGCCUGAUUAUCACACAUAAGGGACAUAGGAGUAGAGCUAGGAAACCCUAAGUCUGAAAGAAGCCAUUUAAGCCAAAUGAGUUCACCAGCUGCGGCUGUCAUGGCUCGAUAUUCAGCCUUAGCACUGGAUCAUGCAAUCACAUGUUGCUUCUUGCUCUUCCAUGUGAUAAGAUUUCCACCAACAAAUGUACAAUAACCUGUGGUAGAUUUCCUAUCAAUUGCAUUACCCACCCAAUCUACAUCCGUGUAGCCACUAAUGGCAGUGGACUUAUUGUUAUGCAUGAUAAUUCCUCGCCCUAUUGAAACCUUAAGAUAACGCAAGAUUCUCUUAACAAAGUUAAGGUGAUCAACAGUGGGAGAGUGCAUAAGCCAGGCUCACUGCAUAUGUGAUAUAUGGGCGCGUGAUAGUGAGGUAUAUAAGCUUGCCCAUCAACCUUUGAUAGUAGCUCACAUUAUGCAUGGCUUCUCCAUCUAUUUUGAGACUCAAUUUGCAAUCAACGAGAGUCAUAACAAGUUUAUAGUCAAGCAUUUUUGCUUAUUGAAGAAGGUCUAAUACAUAUUUUUGUUGAUGUAGAAACAACCUUUUUGAGGAUGUUGCCAUUUUGAUGCCCAAAAAAUACUUUAAUUUCCCCAAAUCUUUGAUAGCAAAUGUUUGAUGUAGUAAGAGCUUCAGUGCCUCAGUCUCAGCGGCACUAUCUCUUGUGAUGAGAAGAUCAUCCACGUAAAUAAAAACCACCAACUUCCCACUAGUGUUAGUUCUUACAAAUAAUGAAGAAUCAACAUUACUUUGUAGAAAUCCAACCUUCUCUAGUACUGAACUGAGCUUGGCAUACCAAUCUCUUGGUGAUUGUUUCAAGCCAUAUAUUGCCUUGUGCAAUUUAAAAACCACAUUGCCUUUAAUACCAUUAUAGGUUGAAGGAGGUUGCAUAUACUCUUCUUCCUGUAACUCUUCAUGAAGGAAAGCAUUCUUCACAUCCAUUUGGUAAAGAGACCACCUACAGUUGACUGCAAUUGAGAGUAACACUCUUACUGAAUUCAUCUUGGCCACCAAUGCAAAUGUUUCCUUAUAAUCUACUCCAAAGGUUUGGGUGAAACUUCGAGCAACAAGUCUAGCCUUGUGUAUCUCAAUAAAACCAUCAGCUUUGAAUUUGGUAUUGUAAAUCCAAUGACUUCCAACAGCCUUUUUUCCUGGUAGUAGUUGAACUAAGCUCCAAGUGUUGUUCUCUUCUAGCGCAUGAAGCUCUUCUGCCAUGGCUUGGUUCCAUUGUGGAAGGAGAGAUGUUUCUUGAAAACUUAUAGGUUCACAAUGCUUAUCAAUUUCAAUGAGGAAUGCAGCAUGAGAUGUUGAGAACUCACAAAGACUAAUACUGUCAGUGAUAGGGUGUCGUGAUGCAUACGUAACAUAGCCCUGCAACCUAGCUGGAGGUUUUCUGGCUCGAGGAGGAUUUCUCUUAAUCAUUGGAAGCUUUGUAGAUGACUGAGAAUGAUUAGAGUUGGACUCUUCAUCUCUCUCACUGGCAAAGAUUAAGUCAGUUUGUACUUCUUCAUAAUUUGGAGUCAUAGUGACUGAGCUCUUUUCCAACACUAGAUGGUGAAAGUUUUGAGGGAAUGGGAACAAGUCAAAUAGUUCAUCCCCCUGACUUGUAGUACUUCCUUUAUGGAGGAAAUAAGAAUGGUCUUUCUUCAAACUUCAUAUCUCUUGAAACAAUGCACUUCUUAGUGACUGGAUUGAAGCACUUGUAUCCCUUUUUAGGUGGAAGAGUAACCCAUAAACACACACUUGGUUGCUUUGACAUCUAGUUUGUCACAGUUCAAGGUUUACAUGUGAACAAAGCAGACGCAAUCAAUUUUUCCUACCUUUAAGCACUUCAUAGGGAGAUCUAAACCCUAACACAUAACUUGGAAGUCGAUUGAUUAGGUAAGUGGCAAUGAGGACAACAAAUGACCAAAUUUUUUUAGGGACAUGCAUAUAUAGAUCAUGAGAGCACAAGUCUUCUCCAAGAGAUCUCUAUUUUUCCUUUUGGCUACUCCAUUUUGUUGGGAGGUCCCUACACAGCUGGUUUGAUGUAUAAUACCCUAAGAACUUAUAUAUUGAAGCAUAUUGUUAGAUGGAAAUUCAGUGUCAUUAUCUAAUCUUGGGACCUUAAUGUUUGAUUGAAAUUGUGUUUUAACAUGCAUAUGGAAAUCUUUGAAAAUGGUUGGGACUUCACUUUUUGAUUUCAUAAGAUAAACAAAACUCAUUCAAGAGAAGUCAUCAACAAAUAGAACAAAGUACUUAAAUCCUUCCAUUGAUUCAGUUGUUGGUCCCCAAACAUCGAUGUGCACCAUUUCAGAAAGUUUAUUUGCCUUAGACAUUGAAGUACCAAAAGGUAGUCUAGCAAAUUUAGAAAAUUGACAAGUAUCACAUUAAGAUGAGAUUUACAAAAUGACUUCAAAGGGAUGAGCUAAUCUCUAAUGCCAAAGUUGGCUUUCACCUAUGGACUUCCCAACUAACAAAAGUUGGAAAGGAAAGGUUGGUACAUAUAAGGCGGUGGAAGGUGUUUCGUGCGAGAGUAAAUUUAUUUCUCCUUUUCCCAAAACUAAGACGUUAUUUCCAUUUGCAACAGACAUAUGUGAAGGACUUGAAAAACAUUUAAAAUGAUGCAAGUUUAUGACUUUGUUUGUCAUGUGAUCAGUGGCACCUGAAUCAAUUAUCCAAUAAUCAUUUUCAACACUAGUUAAUAGGGCAGUAAUGAAGGCUUUGAGUAUACCCGGUGCUUCCCCCUGUGGAACUUUCUUAUUUCCAGCAAGAAAGCCAGCAAACUGUCCUAACAUAGCUGUGUGACUGCCCUCUUCAUUGCCUUGACUAUGUGAGUCUCCUAUGUGUCCCUUACUUUGCAUGUAGGCUGCAAAUUCAUUGAUAAGUGACAAUGGAUUUGUAGUGAACUCCGUGGUUCCUUGUGGAAUAGUAAGAGGAUAAACAUUAGCAAGUUGUGCCUUGAAGUGAGGUUGAGAUUGCUGUGAAGACCUUGGUAUCAUUUUUCCAUCUUUGCUGAACUUAGCCUUAAGUUCAUGAUGGAGUUCCCAACACUUAUCUUCCACAUGGCUAACACCAUCGCAAUAUUUUCAUUUUAGGUGUGUGUUUCUACCCUUGUACCCUUUGGUCUCUGAGUUCUUGUAAUUUGAAACAUAUGCACAAGUCUCAGUUAAUCUCGAGUUGUGUUCAGCAUUCAUCAACUUCUUCCUCGCUUCUUCUCGUUGGAUGAUGGCACAAACAUUGUUGAGGGUAAGCAGUUCUUGACUUAUCAAGAUGUGACUCCUUAGAUCAUCGUACUCAGAGUUCAAACUCCCUAACAGCUGGUAAAUUUUGUCUUCCUUGGCUCGUUUGAAGAGAAUGGUAGGGUCUGCAGUAUGUGGAAGAUAUACAUCCAACUCGUUCCACAUGAUUUUGAGGCUCUCAAGAUGAUGAACAAAGGCUUUCCCUUCUUGUUAAGCACUGACAAUUUCCUUCUUCAGUUGGAAAACACGUGCAUAGUUGUUUUGAUUUUCAUACAUAUCCUGCAAGGCUUUCUAGAAAUCACAUGAGGAAUUAGAGUAGCUAAAAAUCUCAGCAACAUGUUUCUCCAUAAUGUUGAGCAGCAAGGACAUGACAAGUUGGUCCUUGCAGAGCCAUGCAUCGUAUGUGGGGGAGGAGAUGUUUGGAGCUUCUACGCUUCCAUUUACAAACCCUAACUUCCCUUUGACUCUGAGAGCUAGUGAAACAGCUCUAGACCAAGGAAGUUAAUUGAACUCCUUCAAUAGAACUGAACAUAGACACUGAUUGGUGUUAACCUCAACAUCUGAAAAUUUUGAAGAGAUACUAUGUUGAGUUUCCUCCUCGCGGUUCAUUGAACUAUCUUCAGCCAUGGUUUAGACCAUAAAGAAGAAUUCGCAGCAGCAAGAAUGGGCAAAGAUAGGUUACAAAAGAUCCUGCUCUAGUACUAUGUAGAUUUUCUGGUUUUAACUUUUAAUGUAUUUCAUGUGUUCAAUGUACAAGAGCCGAGUAUAUAUUGAAGAUGAGAGAAGAAAGAGAGAUGGGAGAUAUGGCUGUUGAAAACAGCCGACAAGAUCUAAUAUAAUCCUUAAAUCAAGGAGAACUAACAUACUCCUUAAAUCAAGGAUUUACACUAAUCAGUCACCUUCCUUAAGUCAGGGGACAAGAGUUGUUUAUGCUAUUGCCUUGAGCUGACCCUAAAAACCUUUGGUAGCUAACUCUAGAGGUUAAGACUCUAAUGGGAAACGCUUUACACUUCAAGAAAAUCACUUGACCUUAUAAAUCCAAGCCAAAUGAUCUUUUUGCAUAAAGGAAUAAAUUGAUCCUAUGCUGCCACCGAUGACGAGGAGUAGGACCUCCUCUAUCAUACAAAUCACGGCAAAAAGUGCGAUGAAGGUCACUGUCAUGUGGGUCGGUAUGAUCGAUCAAGAUCACUGGAGGUGCAGGGUCGAUCUCAGAAGAAGAACCACUACUGCCAGUGCAAGCCAUUUCACGACCAAAUUGCUUAAGAAGAUGGCCACUUUGGUUUCUAGAGAAUCAGACAGAGUAGCAGUAUCCAAGGCAGAGGUCUGAGCGUCCAUAACAGAGAAUCGGAUGUUUGAAUUAUGGAGGGGCAUACAAGAAAGGGAAACCAAGACUAGAAAGAAGAUACCAACUGAUAUGAUCCAAAUUCCAAUGCCUUAUUCAACCUUAUCCUGUGCAAUAAUGGAGGAAGAUAUGGAAGAACGACAAAGGAGAAGCGAGAGCUUCCAAUAUUUUUUAGUAUAUUAUCUGAAUUAACUGUUACAAAGGAGAAAGAGCUAUUGCUCCCUUUAAAGCCACAGGCCCAAAGGCUCUGCCGGCUAGAUAAGUCUAACAAACUAAUUAAUUAAAGGACAAAAUAAAGGAUUACAUCUAAAAAUUCAUAUUAGUGAUUAAGAUAAUCACUUAUCCUAUCACUCUUCGACUCCCAUCCCAAUCGAUUAGUUGAAUUAAAUAUGGUAAAUUACUAAAAAUAUAUAUGAUAAUAUUUGGAAAUUUCUAGUAUAUUUAUUAAUUUUUAAAGUGGAGUAUAUAUAGGAGUUAUAAUUGGGAUUAGAUAUGUACCUCGUCAAUAUGGGACAACAGACUACUAUUUACACUUUAAUUAAUAUAUAAAUAUAUAAUACGCAACACUCCCCUUGGAGUUAGAGCAAAGAUGUCACGUAUGCCAAAUUUGUCAAGUGAGUUGGAAAACACACUAUUAGACACAGCCCUAGUAAGCACAUCAACAAGUUGAUCUUGAGAUCGCACAAGCCGAAAAUUAAUAAUUCCAGCAUCCAAUUUUUCCUUGAUGAAAUUUCAAUCAAUCUCCACAUAUUGUGUUCGAUAAUUUGCACUGGAUUAUGAGCAAUCUCAAUAGCAGCCUUGUUAUCACAAUAAAGUUUCAUAACACCCUUGGGUUUAAAAUCCAAGAUCUCACAACAAUUUUUUCAACCACAACAACUCACAUACACCAUGAGACACCUUGAAACUCAGCUUCAGUACUUGACCUAGCCACCACUUUUUGUUUCUUGCUUCUCCAAGUAACUAGAUUACCACCCACACAAGCAAAGUAUCUAGAUGUAGAUCGUCGGUCAGUGAUAGAACCUACCUAAUCUGCAUCUGUAUACCAUUAUACAUUCAACUGACCAUUCUUGGAGAAAACCAAGACUCUACUAGGAGCCAUCUUAAAGUACCUCAAAAUACUGAUUACUGGAUCCAUAUAAGCUUCACUAGGUGAGUUCAUAAACUGACUUACCACACUAACUGCAUAAGCAAUAUCAGGAUGAGUGUGAGACAAAUAAACUAAUCUCCCCACAAACCUCUGAUAUCAUUCAUUAUGAGCAGGAACUUGAUCCGGAAAUAAGCCCAGACGAUGACUCUGCUCAAUCAGAGUAUCAACAGGUUUGCAAUCUAACAUAUCUGUUUCAUCUAAUAAAUCAAGAACAUACUUCCAUUGUGAUAGAAUAAUACCAAGUUUGGAUUGUGCAACCUUGAUUCCACAAAAAUACUUCAAUUCACCAUAUUCUUUCAUCUCAAAUUCAGUAGUUAGGUACUUUUGAAAGCGUUGUACCUCCUCCUGAUCAUCACCAAUCACUAUCAUGUCAUCAACAUAAAUAAGCAAUGCAUAUAGCUUACCAUUUUGUUGCUUUAGAAACAAAGUAUGAUCUGAAUGACUCUGAAAAUACCCAAACUUCUUCAUUAAACUUGUAAACCUCCCAAACCACUAUCUAGGAGAUUGUUUCAAACUAUACAAUCAGUUGAUAUACCAAUACCAAGCAAGAGAACCAUAUAAACUUCCUCCUUAAAAUCACCAUGAAGGAAAGCAUUCUUAAAAUCACCUUGUACCGGUCAUUAGAUCCAUAUGUUUUAUGCUUAAUAGUGAACACCCAUCUCAUUUGUAACUGAUACACUAGAUAGGUGACAUAUGUAAGAUGCAUAUGGUUUGGACAAACGAUAAAUAGACACAUGAUUGUUGAUAGGAUACUUGGCUUUGGCAUGCAUAUCAGGCUCAUUGUACUUUAGGUUUUCCACAAUUAACUCAUGGAGGCAAUUGAUAAGUAGAAGAAUCAUCAUAAUUUAUCUCAUGUGUGUCACCAUCUUGUACCAAACCAUUAGAAGAAUCAUCACUGGACAAACCAUCAACAAGUAAUCGUUAGUCAUACCAGCAACAGACAACUGGUCAUCAAAAGGCAAUUCGUCAGACAUACCAAUACAGGUAAUUUGUUGGGCAUAUCUGAAAAGUCAUUAGUAGAAAUAGUCUUAGGAAUGGCAGUUGACCGAUUAACAUCUGUAGUUGAUUGGUUAGUAUCACGCAGCAUAAUUGGUUCUGUCCCCAACUCUAUCUGUAACACAUCAUCCAUACCAUCUCUUCGAAUCUACACUUCACUCCUCCUCUCCCCUUAAAGUAAGGAGUUAGAAGAAAGCUUCACAAAAUACAAAACUUCCUCUUGGAAGGACAUCCAUAGUAAUAUAAGUUUUCUGAGUCAAAUGAUGAUAACACUUACAACCUUUUUUAUUGUUAACAUAUCCAAUAAAUACACACCAAAUAGCACAUGCAUCAAGUUUACUUUGCUGAUGAGAGUAGACAUGCACAUGGGCCACACACCCAAACACCUUCGGAGGAAGUUGGAUACAGAAACAAGAGAAACAUGUUUUUAUAGCACAUCAAAUGGUGUCUGAAAAUCAAGAACCCUACAUUCACACUUGAUGUUUUUAUCUUUAUUAAGCUGUGUUUUAAAAUUUGAUGCUUUUUGGAUAACUUUUCACAAUUGUAAUUUAAUUCUUCUCUCAGAAGUUUAUUUUUUAUUUCCAACAUUUUUUGUUCAUCAAGCAUUGGUAAAUGAUGUUUUUCCAAUGAGGAAGAUGCAUUGUUAAAAAGCAACUGUAACUCAAAUAAAACAUAAUUUUUUAAUUCAUCCUCUCGUAUAAUCAUAUCAGGUAUCGCAAAAGUUUUUCUUAGUUUGAAUAAAAUAUCAUCAUACAUAUUUUUCCAGUGAGUAUUAAAAAGAACUUGAGGAUUUGCUACAUCACAAAACAAAAUUAUUGUAACAAACAAUUGCCUUAAUUGAAAAGAUGAUGCAACAUGGGUAGCAUUUGAUAAAGCAUCUAAACAUUCUUUAUCAUCACCUAAUCCUAGUAAUUUACACGCAGCCUAAUACGAAGAGUGCACCACACCAUUAAUAGUUUUGAUAUCAUCAAAAUUUAAAAACCUUUUUUCAAGUUUAAAAUAAUUAUUAAAUAAUAUAACUCACCAGAUGCAGAGUGCACAUAUGCUAUUCUGGCAAUUGAUCUUUUGCGUUUUCUUGGUUUCCAACAUUUAUUCCGCGCAUCAUAUAAGAAUUUGGAUGGCAUCUGUGCAUAAGUCAGUAAACGCACUUCAUCAUAAAUUUUAUUUGUCUCAAACCAACUUGUCAACAUUGUGUGUUCAAAAGCUCUUUGAUUGAUAAUUAAUAUGAGUGAAUGAUCACCAUCAAAAACAAUAUUUUGUUCUAAUGGUAAAUGCACUCGUAAUCAUUCAACAGAACGUUCUUUAUGGUGUAUCGAAUGUUGAAACAAUCGCCAAACAACCUCAUAAGGUGAUAUGUAUCUACAAUUGAGAUAUGUUAAUAUUUCAUCAUUUAAAUCUUGCUGAAGAACUUAUUGUGCUCUAUCUGAACCUUUAUUAACAUAUUUGAACAAAUAUUUGAUAAGCAUAGAUUGACAACAGGAUUCAACAUUUAUAUGUGCAUUACAUCUUAAAAGUAGCUCUGCAUUAUAAGGAACAACAAAACUGUUAUAAAUUUUUAUUCCAUUUUUUAUGAAAAAAAAAUUUUCAUUGUCGCGCCGUUUAUAAAUUGGAAACCCAUUUGAUUAAAGAAAAGUCUCAUUUCUAUAAGGUCUUGGAAAAUUUUAAUAACACUUAUUUUCUCGCAUGCAAGGAGAUUUUAAAUUAAUUUGAUCACAUGGACCAUGAAUCAUAAAUUAAUUAACAAUAUCAUAAAGCUUUGGAUUAAAAGUUUUAUCUGGUAUUUCAGCUGAAAUAAUAGAAUCAAUAUCAGAUGGAGUGACACACCCCGUCCCGAAGGAGGGCAUGCUGGCCGUCACGUGAGAGUGACGUAACCAUUUGCACAGUACGGAAGCUUUAAAGAUACAAUUUAUAAUUUGAUACACCCGAAGGUGAGUCCUAAUUUUGUCCAAUCUGUCAGAACACCGUCGAAUUCCUCGUAGUCACCACACCUUUGUGAUUCCUGAACCUGGAGGGGCGCAAAACCAAAAUUGAGUGGGUCAGUAAAACAAUUCUUUUCCAAAUCCAAACAUUCCUCAAAACGUUGUAACCCCUCUCCGUAAAACCUGUAUACUUUCCCAGAAAUGUAAAAUAUAAAUAUACAUAUAUAUUCUCAAACUUCAUUUUUUACUAUCUCAACAUUUUUCUUUAUCAAUCAUGCCAUGCCAUGUCUAAUUCAACAGUUAAGUAUGGAUGCAUCAACAAUAAUCAUAUCAGGUGCAAGAAAGUAAUCAACCGGAGGCCCUCUAAUAGCCCUGCACGGUUGAACCUAGAGCUCAAAAUCUAUCACUCUCACACUCUGCCGGAGUCACUCCGCGUGUGACCUGUCCGGCCUUCUGCACAUAAGUUACGCUCUAGUGCUUCUCAUAAAUCAUCUGUGCACAUAAUCUAAGGUCACCCACCAGUCGGAAUCUCACUAACACUCUCGCGACUGGCCUGUACCCACUGCGACUGGUGACCUACCCACUCCUACGUGGACGUGCACAAUACGUACUAGUACUCUAACUAUGGAUUGCCAAGCCGCACGAUUCAUUCAUAUGCGGUGAAUACUAAAAGCACUAAACUAUGGUGCAGGAUUUGAGCACAAUAUACAUCAGCAUCAUAUAAUUAAAUACUCACCUGAUACUCACAUGUGCGUCCGCCGCACCAUUCAUUCAUAUGCAUCAUAUAACAAUUCUUACCCGUGCGUCCACCGCACCAAUUCAUGCAUAUGCAUCAUAAAUCAAUUCUUACCUGUGCGUCCACCGCACUAAUUCAUACAUAUGCAUCAUAUAUUAAUUCAUGCAUGGCAUUUCAACUCACAUUUCUAUAUACUUUUCAUAUCAAUUCUAUGCAUGGUAUUUCACUUCCUGUUUUUCCACAUAACUCAUAUGCAUUUCAUUUUGAACAUAUUUUCAUUUCAAUUCAAUUUCUGGGAAACGUCAAGUAUAUAUAUACACGGAAAACAAAACUGCCCACUCACAGAAUACAUCGACGUCUCGUAAGUCCCUGAGCAUCCCUUGGCCAUGCCCGAUGCCCGCAUAAACCUCACCUAUACAAGAGUAACCAAUUUGACGUUAUUUAACGCCUAACCCAAAUCUUAGUUAAUAACUCCUCAUAUAUUGCUCAAAUUGGGUAUAUGAAUAUACCACCACCGUGACCUACACAACCUCAGGAUCAUCCCCAUAUUUUUUAAAAUAAUUUUUGGAGUCCUCACGCGCCCCCACGCGCCUGACGUGGCACGGACCUACGCGCCCCCCGCGCCCCACGCGCGCCACGUGUCGUGUACACUGACGGCACAGUAAACGGCAGUUAGGGAAUAUUCCGUUAAAUCCUAGCAUAUUCCGUUAAUAAUUAACGGCGUCAGUCAACGCCGUUAGCAUAUUCCGUCAAAACUGACGGAAUAUUCCCUGUCUUCUCCGGCGAUUCGCCGGUCGCCGGCGACUGUUCGCCGGUUUCUGGAAAAAUUUCAAACUUGCUAUUCUCCUUCGUUUUUCAUCCAUUUUUCACGUAGAUUAUACCAAAUUGAAGCCCUAAACAUCUACUAUCACGUUGGACUAGUUUUAGGGUCUAAAAACAACGGGAUUAAACUUUCAAAAAUUCAAGAAAUCGGCCUACCUUCGAACUAGGUGAUCUCGACGUCCAAUUCAUGCCAACGAAGCACUCCGAGCUUCCUUGGGACUUCCUUAAGCUCACUGUGAGCUUGGUUUCACCUAAAACAAAGUCAAUUCGAAGAUCAUGAACAAUGUUCUUCACGGGAACUUUGAAACUAGGGUUUUCCGAAGCAAAACUUACCUGAAAUGGAUACCAUCGUGAUCGUGGAGGUUCCAGGAGUUUGAUGGUGGUUUUAACUCCGUCGUUGGUAGAAGUUUAAGGUGGUUUUGUGGUGGUCCGUGUGAGUUCGAAGGAGAGGGAGAGAGAACUGAGAGUUUCGUGAGGGAGGAGAGAGAGAGACAGUAUGCAGAAAAUAGGGAGAGGAUUGAGGGAUGUGGGGAUCCCUCGUGGUCCUUUUCCAAUCCCCAACUCCAAACCACAAAAUUUUAACCUAAAAAUCUAAGUUCCAUCCUUAAUAAAUUCCAUUUUAUUUUCAAAACUUAGGAACCUAGAUAAUUAACAACUUGAGCUUCUCAUACUUAGUAUUUCUUAAGGGCAAUUUCGUCCAUUCACAGCCACGAAUGUAAUAUUUUGGAACGGGCUGUGACAAUCUCCCCUCCUUAUAGAAUUUCGUCCCCGAAAUUCCAGCAACCAACUAAAUCAACCAUACUCCAACAAUCGCUUCGGGUAAAUCUCUCUCAUCCGAUUCUCUUUCUCCAACAUAAUUUUCUACUGAAUGAUUUCCUUCACAAAGCUUUUACCACUUACUCUGUCUUACUUUUCAGGACCUUCUUUUUCCAAUCCAAAGUCGUCCUUGGUUCCUUAUCAAGUCGAAUCCAAUUUAAUUCUCAAUAGUUGCACCAGAAUCUCAUGUGACGAAUCUGCCACCUAGUGACAACGUAUCGAACCCAAAAUAUAUUAAGUACCUUAGCCAACUCUGAAGACAUCACCACUUGUAUGCACUUUAUUGAUUCCUUUAGUGAUAAAAAAUGGUCUGAUGUGACUAAGUCUUAUCUUGUCUUCCUUUCUGAAUCUUACUAUUUCUCUUCAUGGUGAAAUUUCCAAAAAUAUCAAACCAUUUACCUUACACACUCGAUUAGUGGCAUAUCCAUCUGUUAGUCUCUUUUGCCAUUCCUGGUUACUUCAGGUUAACUUAAUCACAUGAAUACUUUGAGGAGACUCAUCCAUAGUCUCAGGGUCUACUAAAACUCUUUCUUGAUCGAAUCUUUCUCUAUUCAGAAGCAUUUCAUUCACACGACACGCUUCAGGGACCCUAUGGCGUUACUUCGGAAACCGCACAACCAACAUACUUAAGAAACUCAGCAGUUCCGUAAACCAAUUCUUCUUUCCAUAAAACAAAUAAGUACCGUUACUCUGUCUGGGAAAAAGUUAUUACUCAGCACUGGAGUAAUUGUACUAACUUGGUACAUUGACCAACUAUCACUUCAACUUCGAUCAUAACCAUCCUAUGUACAAGGAAACUUGUACACAUAAUCCAAAGUAAUAUCUUUCCAUUUCCACUGCGAAACAGAAAAUAGUUAUCUCAAUCCAAAGGUUUAUCUCUUUCUGCCUCGAUCUGCUGACCAAAUAAAACUGUCGAAUGGUAUGAUAAACCUUAUUACUUUCGGAAUAUUGCAGAAGCUGAACAGUGUACUUCGUCCAAAAUUACUUACUUUAAAUCCUUAGCAUUAGGCACAUACUUUUUGUUUUCUUGUAUCCACAUACCAUUUGAUUCACGAAUCAUGUACUCAUUCUUUUUCCUUUCUUUCUCUGCCUUGGUUAAUUCUUAAAUUUCUUCGUUAACCAUUUGAGUCUCGAGUACGGCCUUACCAAACAGGCCUAACUUGAAAAUUAACAAGUAUAACUUCUUCUCGAUCUUCCAUUCUUAAUUUUUUCUUCCGUUGGUUUUCAAUCCACAAGAUGAUACUCUUGGCAACGUGCCAGACAUUAAUCUUACUGCAAUAUUUUCACCAAGUGUAUUAGCUAGAACAAUUUUACGAUCACCCUGGUCGUACAAUCAUAUACAUUAAACAAUUCAAUUUACCUUCGCUACCUCAGAUCAAAAUCCUUCCGAGUAAUGGAUAUUGAAGACUUUUUGGAUUCGUAAAAAUCUUGCAUUCUUACCAAAUAUAAUGCCUUCAUAACUUCACAGCAAGAAUGGUAAUCAUGACUUCCAAGUCACUCGUAGGGUAAUUCAUCUCAUGAGGUUCCAUUUAUCGUGAAAUGUAUGCAAUCACCCUAACAUUUGCAUCAGCAUGCCUCCAAUACCAUUCAAGAAACAUCACUAAAAAUUUAUGAUUACCACUAUUCUUUGGGAAUACCAAAAUACGUGCAUGAGUGAGGAAAUACUUCAGUUGUUGAAUCCUUUGCUCACAAUUUCCUUCCCACUCAUACAUAACCUCUUUUCUCAACAGUCUCGUCAAUGACAAAGCAAUGACUAAAAAAUCUUUCACAACCAUCCAAAAUAGCCUGGUAAGUUAAGAAAUUCCGAAUCUCAAUUACAGCUCGUGGUUGUUCCAAUUCCUCAAUUUCUGCUAUCUUUUAAGGAUUCACUUGAAUACCUUAAGAAUAUAUAACAAAUCUCAGAAUGCCACCUGAUUCAUCUAACUUUAGCAUUUGCUACUUAGCAUACAACCGACGUUCUCUCAAUCUUUGCUUCACCAACUUAAUAUGUUUACAUGCUCUGCUCUGGCUCAGAAUAUGCCAGAAUAUCUUCAAUGAAAAUGAUAUCAAUUUAUCAAGGCAUUAUUGGAAUACUUCAUCCAUCAACUCAUAAAACAGCAUGAGUAUCCAUAUAGCAUCACCAAACUUCAUAAAGACUAUAACGAGUCCAGAAAACCAUCUUAUGAUCAACGUCACUUAUAAUAUUCAAUUGGUAGUAACCAGAUCUCAAUUCAAUCUUUGAAUCUUCGCAAUUACUUCUGAGCUGGUUAAAUAAACAUCAGUACAUUACCAUGGAUAACGGUUCUCAAUCGUUACCCGACUCCAUUGUCUAUAAUCAAUGAACAGUCUCAAGAUCCAUUUUCUUCCUCACCAACAAACUGGGCUCCUCAAAAGUGUUGUACUCGGUUGAAUAAAACUUUUAUCAACCAAUUCUUUAACAUAAAUUUAUACCUGGCAACAAUUCAAUAGUGAACCUCAUAUCUCUGCCUGAAGGCAAUCCAGGUAUACUUUCAAGGAAGACAUCAAGAAAAGUCUAACCCUUUUGACAUUAUUCACACUACUCCGAGCAACAUCAUUUAGCAUCACAUAAACUAAGUAUUUUUGGGCAGCCUUUCAAAACAAUCUCUUUGCUUUCACAGCAUAAAUAAUGGCUGAACUCACUUCACUUUGCAUGCCCACUCAUUAAGGUAACCUCUGAUCAUCCAGAUCGAUGGAAAGUGACUGGUUUCCCGUAACAAUCCAUCUAGUCACGAUUAUAAUCAACCAAUCUAAUGGAACAGAAUUAACUGAUACAAUAUAUAUUCUAUUAUUAUUAAGUAUUCUAAAUAAGUACAAUACUAACAUAAAAUAAUCUACCGGGUUGCUUGCUUAACGAAUCCACGAAUGAGUUAUUAAUAUUACGGUCUGCAGCCCGCAAUACUGAUAAAUCAUCGUUGUCUCGAUAAGUAGGCAACCACUCUCAAAGAUAUAAUAAUACUAUUUUGCCACUCAAUGCAAAAUACAUACACUCGUCUCAACCGCAUUUAUUUACUACUUUCUAGGCAAUAUCAAUCAUAAUAAUAAAAAUAUAUAUAUAUCAGCCGGAGUCAACUAAAAUGACCAAUACGGCUGAUUCAACUCUCAUCUCAAUAAUACGUCGGCCGGAUCCACUCCGCGUGGUCGGUACGGCCGAGCCUAUAACUCACCAAUUUCUCAUGCGUCAGCCAGAUCCACCUCUCAUGGUCUGUACGGCUGAACAUAUAACUCAUCAAAUCUCUCUGUACCCACGGUCAAUCCGACCAAACUACUAAGUUCAUAAACUUGCUGAAUCGACACUACGAUGUCAUAGAAAACUGUUGGGUACAACUGAUUCUAGGGACGAUUCACAAUUCUGUGUCCCCUCUGUUCACAUAAACACAUUCAUUUCUUAUUCUUCUUUAUUCUCGUUGCUCAUGUUCUCAGAGUCCUCAAGACUCAACAGCAUCUCGUAUAUUCCUGGUAAAAAGUACAAUGGAUAGUGGUCACCCAAAAUACCACUUCCCUUUUUCCACCCAGCUUAAAACAACAUAACACCUCAACCAAAUUAACAGUAAUAUCUGGAUGGAAACGAGGCAAGUCUGAAAACUUUCUAUAAUAUUCAUUUAUCGUCAACUUCCUUGAUUCACAUUUGCAAACUCUUGUUUACUACCAUCGAUAAAUGCCGGAGGGAUAAACUUUUCCUUAAACAAGUCCUUAAACAAUUUUAAAUCGGCUGAUUCCUCUGGUGACAACAAUUAACAAUCCUGUUUCCACCAGGAUACAAAUUCAUACCCAAAACCAGGUAGUCAUCUCGACCCCUUGUCAGAAGGAAAAUUCCUUUGACUUGCAUAAUCCGAAACAUCUUUUCCAAAUGGUUAAACCGUUACUUCGCUCCCUCAGGUUCAUCAUUUCUCUUAAGUGAUUCAAAUUCAACUCAUAACCCAUCUUAAAAUGUCCCUUUAGACAAUAGACUGAAUCACCAUAGUAAUAGUUUCCCCCUAAACCGCUAAAUCAGGGAGACUAAAUUCCUCUAACUACGUGGUUUGCUACGAGGCGGUGUAGUUCUGACAGAAUUCACUAGAAACUUCUCAAGAUGUCCAAGAUUGCAACCAUGCUCUGAUACCAACUGACACACCCCGUCCCGAAGGAGGGCAUGCUGGCCGUCACGUGAGAGUGACGUAACCAUUUGCACAGUACGGAAGCUUUAAAGAUACAAUUUAUAAUUUGAUACACCCGAAGGUGAGUCCUAAUUUUGUCCAAUCUGUCAGAACACCGUCGAAUUCCUCGUAGUCACCACACCUUUGUGAUUCCUGAACCUGGAGGGGCGCAAAACCAAAAUUGAGUGGGUCAGUAAAACAAUUCUUUUCCAAAUCCAAACAUUCCUCAAAACGUUGUAAACCCCUCUCCGUAAAACCUGUAUACUUUCCCAGAAAUGUAAAAUAUAAAUAUAUACAUAUAUAUUCUCAAACUUCAUUUUUUACUAUCUCAACAUUUUUCUUUAUCAAUCAUGCCAUGCCAUGUCUAAUUCAACAGUUAAGUAUGGAUGCAUCAACAAUAAUCAUAUCAGGUGCAAGAAAGUAAUCAACCGGAGGCCCUCUAAUAGCCCUGCACGGUUGAACCUAGAGCUCAAAAUCUAUCACUCUCACACUCUGCCGGAGUCACUCCGCGUGACCUGUCCGGCCUUCUGCACAUAAGCUACGCUCUAGUGCUUCUCAUAAAUCAUCUGUGCACAUAAUCUAAGGUCACCCACCAGUCGGAAUCUCACUAACACUCUCGCGACUGGCCUGUCGUACCCACUCCGCGUGGACUGUACGACUAGUAUCUACUUGGAUCCAAGACGAGCGUGCGAUGCGGUGAAUACUAAAAGCACUAAACUAUGGUGCAGGAUUUGAGCUCAAUAUACAUCAGCAUCAUCAUAACAGUAAUUAAAUACUCACC